GAGGGUAGAGCUCAGGGGUAGAGCGCAUGUUUAGCAUGCAUGAGGUCCUGGGUCCAGUCCCCGCUACCUCCA
This 72-nucleotide transfer RNA is filed under the name Camelus bactrianus (Bactrian camel). It matches the Rfam family "tRNA". Rfam says of the family: Transfer RNA (tRNA) molecules are approximately 80 nucleotides in length. Their secondary structure includes four short double-helical elements and three loops (D, anti-codon, and T loops). Further hydrogen bonds mediate the characteristic L-shaped molecular structure. tRNAs have two regions of fundamental functional importance: the anti-codon, which is responsible for specific mRNA codon recognition, and the 3' end, to which the tRNAs corresponding amino acid is attached (by aminoacyl-tRNA synthetases). tRNAs cope with the degeneracy of the genetic code in two manners: having more than one tRNA (with a specific anti-codon) for a particular amino acid; and 'wobble' base-pairing, i.e. permitting non-standard base-pairing at the 3rd anti-codon position. Lineage: Eukaryota; Metazoa; Chordata; Mammalia; Artiodactyla; Camelidae. The record is from Rfam by way of RNAcentral. RNAcentral also lists the same sequence under 2 other names.